Long non-coding RNA from Mya arenaria, 591 nucleotides. RefSeq lists it as uncharacterized. The record is from RefSeq and is a predicted model, not a curated record. The transcript has 3 exons. Lineage: Eukaryota; Metazoa; Mollusca; Bivalvia; Myida; Myidae.
CCACGAUUACCGGAAGUGAAAAACGACCUUGGAUAGAAAACAAAAUGUCAGCAUCUAGAGGGUUUUUCGCUAAAUUAAGGGAGGCCAGGGCUUUCCGUGCAAGAUGGCGCGGUGGUGCUGGAGACGCAAAUCCAAUGGAUGAGCUCAUUCCAGUACAUAACCAAAUAUUUGAGGUGCGCCACCCAACCUCAUUUGCGAUCAAGUUUGGCAUCUUCUGUUCAACAGGAUUGUCCGCCCCAUUCUAUCUGUGUAAAGUCAAGAUGCAAAGGGCUGCUGACUCCUCAUAGAUGUUCGCUAUGCUAUGUAUGAAGCCCCACAGCAGUUCUCCAUAAAAUCAGAAGGGAUUUUAACAAAUAAACAGUUUCAUCAGAGUGCUUUUCAGUGGAAUACAAAAUAAAUAAAUUUAGAAUAAACAUUGAAUUAGGGCUGUAGUACUUUUGAAAUAAAGUUUCAUGCAUAAAAAUUAAAUAAGGUGAAGUGAUAAUUGGAGAAAAACAUUGUUAAAUAUAUGUGAAACUUGUAAUGAUUUUUUUAUUGAUAUAAUGCUGAUGAAGUGUUGUAUUUAUAGAAAUAAAUUGUCUACAAUACAAA